ACCAGACCAUCUCCCGGCGCGGGUGGAAUUCCCGCGAUCGGUUUCAUUCCCUGCGCCGCCGAGAAAAGUGAGAUCCCGCGAGACUCCCAGGAAUGGCACCAUUGUUGUGCAGAUGCUGAUGCCCAGUGUUGAGCCUGUCGUCUCCUACCUUAGGGGAAGUUCCCCUGGCCCUUCCCAACUACCUCCCCUGUGCAAGUUUAUUACAACUGAACGGCUUCAAGAAUGGAGUCUGUCUCUGUUGCCCAAGCUGGAGUGUGUUGGCACCAUCUUGGUUUACUGCAACUUCCACCUCCCAGGCUCAAGUGAUUCUCGUGCCUCAGCCUCAAGGGUAAGCUGAGAUUACAGGCUGGAGUGCAGUGGCAUGAUCUCACCUCACUGAAAACCUCCACCUCCAGGGUUCAAGUGAUUCUGCUACCUCAGCCUCCCAAAUAGCUGGGACUAUAGGCAUUUUCCCUACAUUUUCAAAGGCCUGCAUCAUCACACCUGCCGCAGCUUUCUCUAUCAUUGAGGCAUUUUCUCAGGAAAUCACCUGUGAAAUAUUUUGCAGCUAACCACCUACCUGUGCCCCGCCAGCCAACCUGCUUUACUCCUGCCAGGCAGGUGAGUGGUCCCCAGAUCCCUAUUUUACCACCUGUUUUAUCAGACUGUUCUUGGUAUCACCUGUGUUGGAGGGAGUUCUCUGCAAAGACCAAUAUGGGACUGCAUAUACAGAGAUUUUAUUUCAAGAUAUGAUUGUGAGAGAAUGAUGAGGGGAGCACUUACUUAGUCUAUUUGAGCUGUUAUAACAAAAUACCACUGACUAGGAAAUGUAUAAAGAGGACUUUAUUUUCCCAGAGUUCUGGAGGCUGGGAAGUUCAACAUCAAAACAUCAGUAGGUUCAGUUGUCUGUUGAGGGCUCAUGUCUGUUUCCAAGAUGAUGCCUUCAUGCUGCGUCUUUUGGAAGAGAGGAGCAUUGUGUCCUCACAGAGCAGAAAAUAGAAGGGCCACAGGACAAACUCCCUCUAUCAAGCCUUUUCAUAAGGGCACCUGAUCCCAUUCGCAAAGCUCUGUCUAUCUUCGUGACUUGACUUAAUCACUUCCAACGGUCCCACCUCCUAAUACUGUUACACUGUUUCAACAAUAAACAGUUUAUGUAGAGUUUCAACAUAAAUUAAGGAGGGGACAAAACAUCCAAACCAAGGAAGGCUGGGAGGGCAGCCAGAGGGAAGGAAAGUGCAAGAGGAGGUUUGGUGGAGGUGUUCUAGACUGUUUGCAGUCCAGGGAGGUUGGGGAGAGUGUCAGUAACAGGCCUGCCUUGGUAUCCCUGCUCUGCAGUCACUGGCUAAGAGCAGUCCUUAGAAAGCACAGCCUGGCACAAAUACAACAAGAAUAUGUGCUCAGUAAGAAAGAGACCACAUUUCCCCAAUAGCCCAGGUAAUGCCCUCCCCUCAACUGGCAUCUCUGUUCCCUAAACGUUGACCUCUUUUCUCUGAAUCUCUUGGGGACACAUGGGUUGAAUUCAGGUUCUCUGUACCCCUCUGGAUUCUGUCUGCCUUUGUUAUAUCUUCAUGAACAAGUUAUGCAGCCUCAACUAAAGCUUGUAACAAAGCAAAAGUUACUCUCCUGAGUGUGUCCUCUGAUGGCUGGUGAGAUAUGACUUCAAGACGAAGCCUCACCCACACUCCCUGUACAAAAACGCUUCUCACGUAAGUGUCUCUUUAAGUGCUUACUGUAGUAUGACUUAUUGCUAAAUUUUCGCCCACACUCUUGGCAUUCAUAAGGCCUCUCUCCUGUGUGUAUUCUUUCAUGCACAGUGAGGUCUGACUUACUGGUAUAUCCUCGCUUACACUCCUGGCACACAAAAGGCUUCUCCUUUGAGUGUAUCCGCCAGUGGUGUCUGGUGAGACUUCUCUUCCAGCUGAAGCCUUGCCCACACACAUUACACACGAAGGGCUUCUCCCCUGAGUGUGUCCUCUGGUGUGUGAGGAGAUUUCCCUUCCAGUUGAAGCCUCGCCCACACUCCUUGCAUACAAAAGGCUGCUUGCCAGAAUGUGCAAGCUGGUGUUUCACAAGGUUUGACUUCCAGAUAAAUCCUUGCCCACAUUCACUACAAAUGAAAGGCUUCUCCCCUGAGUGUGUCUUCUGGUGGAAGAGGAGAGUUGACUUUAGGAUGAAGCCUCGCCCGCAAUCCUUGCAAUUAAAUGGCCUUUCCCCUGAGUGUGUCCACUGAUGUCUAAGAAGAUUUGCCUUCAAACUAAAACUUUUCUCACACUGCUUGCACAUGAAGGGCUUCUCUCCUGAGUGUGUCCUCUGAUGUAUGGUGAGAUUUGGCUUCAAGGUAAAGCCUCGCCCACAAUCCCUGCAGAAAAAACGUUUCUCACCCAAGUGUGCCCUCAGGUGCUUGUUAUAGGAGGACUUAUCCCGAAACCUUCGCCCACACUCCCGACAUCCAUAAGGCUUCUCCUCUGAGUGUGUCCUCUGGUGUAAAGUGAAGGUUGACUUUUGGAUAAAGCCUCGUCCACAGUCCUUGCACACAAAAGGCUUCUCCUCUGAGUGUGUGAUCUGAUGCUUCACAAGGGUUGACUUCUGAAUAAAUCCUUGCCCACAUUCACUACAAACAAAAGGUUUCUCCCCUGAGUGUGUUCUCUGGUGGUAGACAAGAGUUGACUUUUGGCUAAAGCUUCGCUCACAAUCCUUGCACACAAAAGGCUUCUCCCCUGAGUGUGUUCUCUGGUGUCUGAGGAGACUUCCUUUCACGCUAAAACUUUGCUCACACUGCCUGCACGCGAAGGGCUUCUCCCCUGAGUGUGUCCUCUGGUGUGUGAUAAGGUGUGACUUAUUGCUAAAGCCUCGGCCACACUCCUGGCAUCUGUAAGGCUUCUCUCCUGAGUGUAUUCUCUUGUGCACAACGAAGUAUGACUUAUUAGUAUAGCCUCGCCCACACUCCUUGCACACAAAAGGCUUCUCCCCUGAAUGCGCCUUCAAGUGCUUGUUGUAUGAGGACUUAUCGUUAAACCUUCGCCCACACUCCUGGCAUUCAUAAGGCUUCUCUCCUGUGUGUGUUCUCUCAUGCACAGUGAGGUAUGACUUACUGGUAUAGCCUCGUCCACACACCUUGCACAGAAAAGGCUUCUCUCCUGAGUGUGUCCUCUGGUGUCUGAGGAGAUUUGCCUUGAGGCUGAAGCCUCGCCCACACUCACUGCACACAUAGGACUUCUCUGCUGUGUGUGUGUUCUGGUGCAAGAGCAAUGCUGACUCAUCUCUAAAGCCCUGGUGACACUCCCUGCAUGUAAAAAGUUUCUGCCUGGAAUGUGCUUUUUUGUGUAUGAUUACUAUUGUCUUCCGGCUGAAGUCUUGCCCACGCUCUGCACACUUGAAUGCUCCCCAUCUUGAAUUUUCUAUUUCUUUCAAUACUUUGUCUAUUUCUGUAGGAUUCUCCCUCUGGCCUCGACUAGACUCUAUUUCCACUACACUGUUCCUCCUCCUUGAGCUUACUGCAUGUCUUAGGGGUGGGCUGGAAAAUGCCAUGGGCUUAGUGCUUUUUUCUUUCUCUUGACCUUCAGCUGUGUCACUCUGGAAGCUUUGAUCAGAAAAUUGUAGUUGCUGUUGCCUCUGAUGUGCAAGUCCAAGAUUCUUGGGCCGCAGGACAUGUUCUGCAUAUAUUCCUGGAGAAUAGACCAACAAUGAGACUGAAUCAGUAAUGAAAAGUCUUCUAUCAAAGAAAAACCCAGGACCAGAUUGCUUUACUGCUUAAUUCUAGUAAACUCAUAAAGAACAACAAACACCAGUUCUUUUCAAACUAUUCCAAAAAAUUGAAGCAGGGCAGGGAGGAAUUCUUCCUAACUCAUUCUACAAGGCCAGCAUUAUCCUGAUACCAAAACCAGACAAGGACACAGCAAAAACAGAGAACUACAGGCCAAUAUCCCUGAUGAUGCUAAAUGGAAAAAUCCUCAACAAAAUACUAGCAAACCCAAUGCAACAACACAGAAAAGAUAAUAUACCAUGAUCAAAUGAGAUUUAUGUUAGGUAUGCAAUCAUGAUUCAACAUACACAAAUCAAUACUUGUCACACAUCACAUCAACAGAGUGAAAGACCAAAAGACAUAUGAUCAUCUCAACAGAUAUAGAAAAAGAUUUGAUAUGAUUCAAAAUCCCAUUAUGAUAAAAACUUUUAUUUUUUUGAGACAGGGUCUCACUGUGUCACCCAGGCUGGAGUGCAGUGGCAUGAUCAUGGCUCACUGCAGCCUCGACCUCCCAGGCUUAGACGAUCCUCCCACCUCAACUUUCCAAAUAGCUGGACUACAGGUGCCUGCCUGUAGUCAAGCCACAGGUGCCAUUGCCUGGAUAAUUUUUGUAUUUUUUGUAGAGAUGGGAUUUCGCCAUGUUGUCCAGGCUGGUCUCAAAUUCUUGAGCUCAAGCAAUCUGCCCAUCUUGCCCUCCCAAAGUGAUGAGAUUAAAGACAUAAGCCACCACACCCGGCCUAUGAUAAAAACUUAAAUCAGGUGUACAGGAAACAUAUCACAACAUAAUAUAGACAAUAUGUUCCAAACCCACAGCAAACAUCUUAGUGAAUGGGGAAAAGGUAAAAGUCUUUCCUCUAAGAACUGGAAAAAGAUUCGAAUGUCUACUUUCACCACUCUUAUUACCAUAGUUCUGGGAGUCCUAGUCAGAACUAUGGUAAGAGAAAAAAAUAAGGCAAGAAAA
RNAcentral lists this non-coding RNA (4682 nucleotides) under Pongo abelii (Sumatran orangutan). The record is from RNAcentral. Lineage: Eukaryota; Metazoa; Chordata; Mammalia; Primates; Hominidae.